RNAcentral lists this long non-coding RNA (4055 nucleotides) under Mus caroli (Ryukyu mouse). RNAcentral describes it as "lncRNA (MGP_CAROLIEiJ_G0005298.1)". The record is from RNAcentral. Lineage: Eukaryota; Metazoa; Chordata; Mammalia; Rodentia; Muridae.
GCGAAUAACAAUUUUUAUUUGUCCUGCUAUUUCUCCAGUUAGGGAAGUAAGUAGAAAGUAACAUUAUAGUUGAAAUCAAAUAUCAAUAUAGUAUCAUUUCUUUGCCACACAAUUAUCUUCUAAUAUAGUAAAUAUUAUUAAUGCCAUAGAUAACCAAGAGUCUAGGCUUCUGCAAAAUGUUAAUUGUAUUACAGAAAGAGAAAGAAAAAUGGGGACUCAAGUGGGAAUCUUUUUAUAAUAUUGCCCAAUGAUUUCUCAUUUGGGAAAAUAUGAGCGUUGUGAUAAGAAAAUGGAUGGCGAAAAACCUAAGUUGAAAAGUAGACAGGCAUGGUGCUGAAGCAGUAGCUGAAGCUUUACCCCUACGUUCCCUGGCUACGGCUAUGCCACAGUACAACUAGUAACGUUUAGAAAAAUACUAAACAACAGAUUUUUGCCAUCCAUUCUCUUAGCACAUGUUUUUUACUAUCCUUCUCCUCACAUUCAGAGAAUCUUUAUUUCCUCCCACGGAGUUGUUGUUGUUGUUGCUGCUGCUGCAGCUGCUGGUUCUGAUGCUGCUGCUGUUGUCAUUGUUUACAGUUGCUUUUUUUUUACCCUCUUGAACAGUAAGAUCCACAUCAAGUUCAUUCAACAUCAUUAUGCUGGCGGACUUGCCUCUCAUGAGUAUUCUUUACCCUGAUCUAUUCCAGAAAAUAUCUAAGUUAAUAGUAGAUCAUACUUUCUUGAUAGUCUCCUACUCAGUCAGCUCUGUCUUGGUAGUACAUACAAAUAACCCUUGUCAUCCAUCGAGAUUUGUCACGUCCAUUGUGAUGUCAAAUACACCCCUCAUUUAAUCUUCACAAAAUCUCCUGAAGGAGAUAUUAUUUCACUUCCAUUGUAUAGAAGCUUUCUGCUUUUGAUUUUAAAAGGAAUGGAGGAGAGGGAAGAUAUUUAGGAACACCUGUCUGGAUAAGAACAGGGCUAUGGACCAACUAUCUUUAGCUCCAAAGACAGGUCUCCUAAGCCCUAUGUAGUCUAUACUUUCCAUGCCUCUUUAUUAUGGUUGAUGAAUCAGUUUUCUUAGUUCUAUUUCUUUUCUCCUUAGACUCUAUCCAAAUAUGUCUAGAAUGUUGGGAAGGCUCCCCUACGUUAACAUCUUCAAGAUCUGAAAAUGACUUCAGUUGGAAAACAUUGCUCUUUAUGUCUUUAAACAAGCAAGAAUUUGAUAUAUGAUACAUUCGCUCAGUUACUAAAUUCAGAGAGUAGUAUGUGAUGAAACUCCAAAAACACUCUGUAAUUCGUGUCAAGGCAUCUUGGGCUGGGGCUGAGUUUGCAGACAACUUAAGAUAUUUAUAAAUGUUAUUUGUCGGAAAACACUGCCCUCAGCAAGGUAUAAAAUGUUACCAGUGUUUCCAAUUCUUAGAAGGACUGUCUCCAUCAGAGCUGAAAUGCCAUACUUGACAUAGUACAAAGUGGUAACAGCUUGGAGUCUGAGGAGAACUAGGUACAAUUAUAUCUAAGAUUUUUCUUCCAAUACUGGCCAAAAGAAGAGUGCCAUGUAAGGAUGAAAGCAUCUCUCUCUCUCUCUCUCUCUCUCUCUCUCUCUCUCUCUCUCUCUCUCUCUCACACACACACACACACACACACACACACACACACACACAUACACACACACCACAUACUACUCACCCCAGAAAGAGACCCUACACCAAGCAAAAGUAGCAAGUCAUGGUGGUAGGAGGCCUAUGGCUGGAGCUCCUGAUGGCCAGGGUAUGGCAAGUAUCAUUGUUAUCCUGAAUGUUCUUCAUAAAACAAAUAGAAUGAAAGGUCAUGACACAAAUGUAGCCAUGCCACAGUCUUUGGGUGCCACCUUGAACCCAUUUCUCCUAUUUUCCACAUACCACUCUUUGAAUCCUAUCUGGUCUCUUCCUGGAAUGUCUCUUGGAUCUACUGCUCCGGUCCAGGCCCACCACCCUCAUCAUAAUCCCGAUCACAGUCUCUUUCACCUGGAUUACCAAACCCUCUCAAGUUUCUCCACCUCUAGACUCGCUGCUCCCAGUCCUCUCUCCACUCUGUAGCUGGAAGUAUCUUCCUAGAAGUUCCUAUUUCAAUAUAACCAGGACAUAUUCAACAGUUCUACUUACUGUUCAGUGGUUCCCAUAGCAUUUAAGUUAAAGAUGAGUUUUCUUCACCUGCUGUCAGACAGAAACCUUUCCAAUCUUCUAUCAACAUCUAACUUCACCUUUUCAAAAUAACUUAAGGGUAGGGAAUAGGCACAUAGGACUUCAUUUCUUAGUGCUGAAUUACAGGCUACUGAUGGACUCUGGGAGAGGAGGAAGCCAUCACUGUCUCCAGUUGUGUAUCUGCUAAAGAUUAGCUGGGAAGAGGGGACAUAUACAUAGGAGAGAAGCAGAUGAGAGAAAGUAGAGGUAAGGUCAAUCAGAGUGCAUUGCAUACAUGCAUAAAAUUGUCAAAAUAACAAACUUAAUUUUGAAAAAUGUUUUUUUAAAGUCUGUUACUUCAAAUUGGGGUGCUGCUUUUAGUCACGUGGCCUUUGGAAACCCCCACUGGUGCCUCUUCCUGUCCUCUCCAUGUCCUUCACUCAGUCCGAGUCUGGCAUGGGUGUGAUUACUUUUCCUCCUGAAGAAAGAUUAUUUCAAGUGGAAUAUGCCAUUGAGGCUAUCAAACUUGACUCUAUGGCCAUUGGCAUCCAGACAUCCGAGGGUGCGUGUCUAGCUGUGGAGAAGAGAAUUACCUCUCCGCUAAUGGAGCCUAACAGCAUUGAGAAAAUUGUGGAGAUUGAUGCUCAUAUAGGUUGUGCCAUGAAUGGGAUAGUUGCUGAUGCUAAAACUUUAACUGAUAAAGCCAGAGUGGAGACACAGAACCACGGGUUCACCUAUAAUGAGACAAUGACAGUUGAGAGUGUGACCCAGGCUGUGUCCAAGCUGGCUUUGAAGUUUGGAGAAGAAGAUGCAGAUCCAGGUGCCAUGUCUCGUCCCUUUGGAGUUGCAUUGUUGUUUGGAGGAGCUAAUGAGAAAGGACCCCAACUGUUUCACGUGGUCCCAUCUGAGACCUUUUGUAUAGUAUGAUGCUCAAGGGAUUGGCUCUGCAUCAGAGGGUGCCCAGAGCUCCUUGCAAGAAGUCUAUGACUCUGAAGGAGGCCAUCAAGUCUUCACGCAUCGUCAUCCUCAAGCAAGUCGUGAAGGAGAAGCCGAACACAACUAGCAUCAUCUAGCUAGCCACGGUGCAGCCUGCUCAGGGUUUCCCCGUGUUCACAAAGGGAGGACUGGAGGUGAUCAAGGACAUUUAAGGAGAAACCAUCUUUGGACUUCUGUGGGACAGUUUCGGUUCUAAUGGCCCUUAGACUUUAUUUCCAGCUCUUAUGUUGUGGAAAAUAUGCUGUACAUGUGUUUAUGGUGUCUGUACAUAACACCAAUUCUGAAAUAAAAAGACUUUAAAAAAUAAAAUAAAAAAGAGACUGUGACUUCUAUAGUCCCCUCUCUCUCCCACCCUCUCACCUGCCGGUCACAAGGAUCUCCUUUUAGAUUAAUGAAUAUGCCCUGCUGUCUGUCAACACAAGGUCACCCCUAAAGUAAACACUUCAUUCCAUUUUUUCCACUCAUGUUUUGCUUUUCCGUUGUAUCAAUCUCACAAUUAAGGAAACUUCCUCAAAUCCCUAACCCAGAGUUGAAUGUUUUUCCCUGUGUGUUUCCAUGGUAACCCACACUUCCUAUGGCACCACAACCAAUAUGACUGACUAUUCAUUCACCCUCUGUUCUUCUGCUAUAGGCUGUGUUCUGUAAAAUUCCGGCUUAUUUGAACUGUAGACUUAUAUCUGCUUUCUAUGAUAGACAAGGUCCUAAAUAGCUAUUGCACCGAGACAGAAAUCUUUUCAAUCUUGUAUCAGCAUCUAACCUUACUUUCUCAAAAUAACUCCCUGCUUCUCAUUAUCUUUCCGAAGGUGAGUGUUUUCAAUAGGAAUAUUUAACAUGGUCACUGUGAAAUUUCCCCACCACAGCUAAAGGAGAGCAGGGAGGAAACACGUUUGCUCUACUCUCAUGCUUCUUCCCAGAGCUUCC